AGUGAACGUUGGCGGCGUGGAUUAGGCAUGCAAGUCGAGCGAGAACCGUAGCAAUACGGGGACAGCGGCGAACGGGACAGUAAUGUGUAGGUACCUACCCCUGGGACCGGGAUAGCUGCGGGAAACUGCAGGUAAUACCGAAUAAUGUCUCCGGACCAAAGGUGUGAUUCCACCUGGGGAGGGGCCUGCAUCCUAUCAGCUUGUUGGCGGGGUAACGGCCCACCAAGGCAACGAUGGGUAGCGGGUGUGAGAGCACGACCCGCGUCAUUGGGACUGAGAUACUGCCCAGACACCUACGGGUGGCUGCAGUCGAGGAUCUUCGGCAAUGGGCGAAAGCCUGACCGAGCGACGCCGCGUGCGGGAUGAAGGCCUUCGGGUUGUAAACCGCUGUCGUAGAGGAGGAAAUGCAGGGGGGUUCUCCCCUUUGCUUGACCUAUUCUAGGAGGAAGUACGGGCUAAGUUCGUGCCAGCAGCCGCCGUAA
RNAcentral lists this ribosomal RNA (482 nucleotides) under uncultured bacterium. RNAcentral describes it as "partial 16S ribosomal RNA". It matches the Rfam family "Bacterial small subunit ribosomal RNA", at positions 28 to 523 of the family's 1533-position model. The record is from RNAcentral.